RNAcentral lists this ribosomal RNA (253 nucleotides) under uncultured bacterium. RNAcentral describes it as "partial 16S ribosomal RNA". It matches the Rfam family "Bacterial small subunit ribosomal RNA", at positions 524 to 776 of the family's 1533-position model. The record is from RNAcentral.
UACAGGGGGGGCAAGCGUUGUUCGGAAUUACUGGGCGUAAAGGGCUCGUAGGCGGCCAACUAAGUCCGACGUGAAAUCCCAAAGCUUAACUUUGGAACUGCGUCGGAUACUGGAUGGCUUGAAUUCGGGAGAGGGAUGCAGAAUUCCAGGUGUAGCGGUGAAAUGCGUAGAUAUCUGGAGGAAUACCGGUGGCGAAGGCGGCAUCCUGGACCGACAUUGACGCUGAUGAGCGAAAGCUAGGGGAGCGAACGGG